GACCGUGUAGCUCAGUUGGUAGAGCGUCGAUCUAGUAAUUCGAAGGUCGCAGGUUCAAGAUCCAGCCGCGGCA
This 73-nucleotide transfer RNA is filed under the name Paramuricea clavata. It matches the Rfam family "tRNA". From Rfam's summary of the family: Transfer RNA (tRNA) molecules are approximately 80 nucleotides in length. Their secondary structure includes four short double-helical elements and three loops (D, anti-codon, and T loops). Lineage: Eukaryota; Metazoa; Cnidaria; Anthozoa; Malacalcyonacea; Plexauridae. The record is from Rfam by way of RNAcentral.